CACAAAAUACCAGUCUCUGUUGCUAUCUGGGCAGCAAACGAUCCAGUUACAAAACCCCCUCGUAUCUCCUGCUUCCUUGGAUCGCUCCUGAUACCAAUUACAGGUUGAGUUCCAUAGUCAGUAGAGUCUGAGAUGCAGUGUUUCAUGCAGAUCAUGAAGCAAUGCCUUGGUACCAACUCCUGGGAAAGGGAGGUGAAGGAAGAGGGAUCAGGACGCGAGAAAAGUCAAGAAGCAUUGCAUGUCCAAUAACAGCUUGGGAGAUUCUGCAGGAAACUCUAAAACUAGCCUGGCCUUUAGUUUGUCCCACAUUGAAGCAAAUAACCAGAACUUUAUGCCUUUUAUUAAAUAUCCAUUAAAUGAGGAACCCCUGAAAGGGGCAUGACUUUGGCCAAAGUGGCUUUCUGCAGCUGAGUUAGUCCCUGAAAGAGUCGACACCUAAACACUCCCCUUCUCUCUUUCUCCAGAACAAGCCCUUCAGGGAGGCAAAUGGUAUGCUGGACACAAAGCUCUGCCGGGGACACAAAGGUUGUAUCUGCUUCUCUACAACACAUCAGCCUUCUCACUAUCUUAAGCUUCCUUGUAACUUCAGUUUGCACAUCAUGGCUUCUUUUGGGCUUUUCCCCCGUAUCAUAACUUUCCACCUUAAACUCCUACCAGUAACUGGAAAACAUUUCAUGUAUUUCUUAUUCCAAAUUUAAGUUUAUGGAAGCAGAAAUUGGACAGGCCUGAGCCAUCUUUUCAAGUCAGGCCACAGUGGUCACUGUUGCCUACUCAGCCUAUAGUCAAGGGACCAUUUGUUAUGUACACAUCAAGGAAAAAGGUUUCUUUUAGAAGUGACUGUGGUCAAGGAGGAUGCUCCAGCCAAUAUCUAAGUAGCAUACUGGCCGAAGUUUUCAUACAGUGCACUCAGAAUCCUUUGAUAGUGGACUCAGGCCAUCCAUAGCUUCCUUUGUUCAUGCCUUGGGCAUUGUAAGUAGAAAAGUCCAUUGACUAGAUCUCAGGAAUAAAGUGUUUCUUCAAACAAAAGAGAAGUUUUUA
RNAcentral lists this long non-coding RNA (1038 nucleotides) under Felis catus (domestic cat). RNAcentral describes it as "lncRNA (ENSFCAG00000047992.1)". The record is from RNAcentral. Lineage: Eukaryota; Metazoa; Chordata; Mammalia; Carnivora; Felidae.